This is a transfer RNA of Ovis aries (sheep), 71 nucleotides long. It matches the Rfam family "tRNA". From Rfam's summary of the family: Transfer RNA (tRNA) molecules are approximately 80 nucleotides in length. The record is from Rfam. Lineage: Eukaryota; Metazoa; Chordata; Mammalia; Artiodactyla; Bovidae.
UCCCUGUUGGCUUAGUGGUAAAGAAUCUGCCUGAAAUGCAGGAGACGUGGGUUCGAUUCCUGGGUUGAGAA